RNAcentral lists this unclassified non-coding RNA (342 nucleotides) under soil metagenome. Its description in RNAcentral is "partial contains 5.8S ribosomal RNA, internal transcribed spacer 2, and large subunit ribosomal RNA". The stretch from base 1 to 119 matches the Rfam family "5.8S ribosomal RNA", at positions 35 to 154 of the family's 154-position model. The record is from RNAcentral.
GAUGAAGACGUAGUGAAAUGCGAUAAGUAAUGUGAAUUGCAGAAUCCAGUGAAUCAUCGAAUCUUUGAACGCACAUUGCGCCCGCCAGCAUUCUGGCGGGCAUGCCUGUUCGAGCGUCAUUUCAACCCUCGACCUCCCCUUGGGGAGGUCGGCGUUGGGGACCGGCAGCACACCGCCGGCCCUGAAAUGGAGUGGCGGCCCGUCUGCGGCGACCUCUGCGUAGUAAUACAGCUCGCACCGGAACCCCGACGCGGCCACGCCGUAAAACACCCAACUUCUGAACGUUGACCUCGAAUCAGGUAGGACUACCCGCUGAACUUAAGCAUAUCAAUAAGCGGAGGA